GUAUUUACCUGGCAGGAGACACCAUGAUUACAGAGGUGCUUUUCCCAGGGCAGGGGUCCCCCAGUGCACUUGGGGUGUUCUGACCCCUGCCAUUUCCCCAGAUGUGGGUAACUCAGCUGCAUCAUUUGUGGUAGUGGGGGUCCUUGUUAUACACUCUCCCCUA
Molecule: small nuclear RNA, 163 nt
Organism: Talpa occidentalis (Iberian mole)
Lineage: Eukaryota; Metazoa; Chordata; Mammalia; Eulipotyphla; Talpidae
Product: U1 spliceosomal RNA
Exons: 1
Source: RefSeq, a predicted model, not a curated record